GCCGAGAUGGCGGAACUGGUAGACGCGCUGGACUCAAAAUCCAGUUGUAGAAAUGCAGUAAGAGUUCGAUUCUCUUUCUCGGCACCA
RNAcentral lists this transfer RNA (87 nucleotides) under Gammaproteobacteria bacterium. RNAcentral's name for it is "tRNA-Leu". It matches the Rfam family "tRNA". Rfam says of the family: Transfer RNA (tRNA) molecules are approximately 80 nucleotides in length. Their secondary structure includes four short double-helical elements and three loops (D, anti-codon, and T loops). Lineage: Bacteria; Pseudomonadati; Pseudomonadota; Gammaproteobacteria. The record is from RNAcentral.